CCGUAGUUGUAGCUUACUACAAAGAUAAGAAAUAAAAGAAAAUAUAUCUAAAAAGCUUUACCUCACUGAAAGAGACGCUGCUUCAGGCAAACCUCUCUGCCAAGUCAUGCCCAUCUGCAAUGGAGUGUGACGUGGAGGCUUGCAAUUGGGCAUCAGAAGCGGCCCAACAACAGACUCCCUGCUGAGACCUGACAUGCCGUUUUCAUCAAGAAUUGUUCUUCACCUGUGUGAAACAUUGCUGCAGACAACAAAUGGACAUGGCUUUCAUUUGUUUACAGACAAAUUUUACACAGGUUACGAACGGCCAUGGAACUGCUAAAAAUAAAAAUCCACCUUACUGGAACAGUAAUGGCCAACAGAAGAGGAUUGCCAGUACCAGUGAAGCAAGGCCUCAAACUGAAAAAAAAUGAGACAGUCUCAUUCACCAAGGACAACAAGAUCAUGGUGCUAGGAUGGAAGGACAAAAGGCUAGUGCUCAUGUUGAGCACCUUCCAAGGCAGUGACUGAGAAGGCACAGCAUACCAUCAAGAGAGGAGCAAUUGAAGAGCUCGACAAGCCUUCAGUUAUCUGUGAUUACACCAGCAAGAUGGGUACAGUGGACUGGGCGGAUCACUACUGUGACAGCUAUGCUUUCACAAGAAAGUCUCUGAAGUGGUGGAGGAAGAUGUUCUUUUGGCUGCUGGAAGUAGCAAUUGAUGAAGGUGGAAUCAGGACAGCUACCUGUUCACCAUAAAACCUUCAGGAAAGCCUUACUGGUACAACUGGUGGGAAAUGUUUGCAACCCUGGCUCAAGAAAAUGUGGUUGUCCAUCAUCAACAGACAAGAUAAGAAAGACUGAAUGGAAAGCCACAUUUCAUUGCAAAAAUGAAUCAAAGAGCACCAAAGACUAUGCAGUAUUCAGUGACAAAAGGGGGGAGGAGGGAGACUGUAUGGUUCUGCAAAACCUGCUCAAGGCAGCCAGGGUUACACCCAGGUGACUGUUUUGAAAGAUACCAUACCAUGGACACAUACAGAUAAUUUCUGUCAGUGUAAAUGCCUUUUUUUUUGUUUGCAUAC
Long non-coding RNA from Acipenser ruthenus (sterlet), 1056 nucleotides. RefSeq lists it as uncharacterized. The record is from RefSeq and is a predicted model, not a curated record. Lineage: Eukaryota; Metazoa; Chordata; Actinopteri; Acipenseriformes; Acipenseridae. The transcript has 3 exons.